Molecule: ribosomal RNA, 1256 nt
Filed under: Agriocnemis femina
Lineage: Eukaryota; Metazoa; Arthropoda; Insecta; Odonata; Coenagrionidae
Description: 16S ribosomal RNA
Rfam family: Archaeal large subunit ribosomal RNA (bases 822-1188)
Source: RNAcentral
UGAGUGAUUAUGUUUAUAGAAAUAUCUUUUUAUUUAGUAUAUUUUAUAGAAAUUUUCUUUUUUGUUAUAGUUAAUUAUUACUGUGAAGGUACUGUUGUAAUAUGUAUUUAUUUUUAUAAAAGUAUACUUUUUUUGUAUUACCUUUUGUAUCAGGGUUGAUUAAAAUUUUAUAAGUUAUUUUGUUUUCUCGAUAUUACAAGAGCUAAUACUUUAUUUUUUUUAUUGUUUCAUUAAUAUUUAAAAUAUUUAUUAGAGGAGAAAUUCUAUUCGUUUGUAAAGGUAUCUAGUUUUUUAAGAAUUAAAUUUAAUUUAUUUCUAAAAUUUAUUUUUUUUCUUUUUAAUAAAAUAUUUUUUAGAAUAAAUCUAGUAGGGGAUAAGCUCUUCUUUUUACUAUAAUUUUUAUUUUUAUAAAUAUAAUAGGACUAAGAUCAACCAUUUUUUAAAUUCGUUAUAGAAUAUUUUAUUUUUUCUUGAUUUUCAAUUUUUUUGUUAUUUAUUAAAAUUAAUUAUUUUACUUUAUUUUAAUUGUAAUUAUGAUUAAAUUAGUAUAAAAUCUUGUUUUUAUUUUCUUUUAUUUAAUUUUAAUUAAGGAACUCGGCAAAUAUAAUUUUCGCCUGUUUAUCAAAAACAUGUCCUCUUGAUUUUUUUAGGAGGUCAGACCUGCCCAGUGAUAAAUUUAACGGCCGCGGUAUACUGACCGUGCAAAGGUAGCAUAAUCAUUAGUCUUUUAAUAGAAGGCUGGAAUGAAGGGUUUAACGAAAAAUUAGCUGUCUCAAUUAUAUUUUAGAAUUUAGCUUUUAAGUUAAAAGGCUUAAUUUUUGUUGGAGGACGAGAAGACCCUAUAGAGCUUUACAAUUUUAUUUAUUAUUUUUUUUAAGUUUAAUAAUUAAUAUUAGUUUUUAAAAUUGUUUUGUUGGGGUGACAAAAAUAUAUAUUUAACUUUUAUUAUUUUUUUACAUUAAUUUAUGAGUUUUGGAUCCAUCAUAGGUGAUCAUUAGAAUAAGUUACCUUAGGGAUAACAGCGUAAUCUUCUUUCAGAGUUCAAAUUUACAAGAAGGCUUGCGACCUCGAUGUUGGAUUAAGAUUAUAGUUAGGUGUAGCAGCUUAACUUAUAGGUCUGUUCGACCUUUAAAUUCUUACAUGAUCUGAGUUCAGACCGGUUUAAGCCAGGUCGGUUUCUAUCCCCAAUUUUUUAUUACUUAGUAGUACGAAAGGACCCUAAUUUAAAAAUAAUUUUUUAUUAAUGAAUAUUAUUA